GUGCCAGCCGCCGCGGUAAUACGAAGGGUGCAAGCGUUAUUCGGAAUCACUGGGCGUAAAGGGUGCGUAGACGGUAUGUUAAGUUUGUUGUUAAAGGCUCCGGCCUAACUGGAGUAUUGCGAUGAAAACUGGCGUGCUAGAGGGUGAGAGAGAGAAGUGGAAUUCCCGGAGUAGCGGUAAAAUGCGUGGAUCUCGGGAGGAACACCAAUGGCGAAGGCAGCUUCUUGGCUCAUUUCCUGACGUUGAGGCACGAAAGCGUGGGGAGCAAACAGGAUUAGAUACCCCGGUAGUCC
RNAcentral lists this ribosomal RNA (293 nucleotides) under uncultured bacterium. RNAcentral's name for it is "partial 16S ribosomal RNA". It matches the Rfam family "Bacterial small subunit ribosomal RNA", at positions 505 to 796 of the family's 1533-position model. The record is from RNAcentral.